GGGCCCGUAGCCCAGCCUGGACAGGGCAUCGGCCUUCUAAGCCGGGGGUCCCGGGUUCAAAUCCCGGCGGGCCCG
RNAcentral lists this transfer RNA (75 nucleotides) under archaeon. Its description in RNAcentral is "tRNA-Arg". It matches the Rfam family "tRNA". Rfam says of the family: Transfer RNA (tRNA) molecules are approximately 80 nucleotides in length. Their secondary structure includes four short double-helical elements and three loops (D, anti-codon, and T loops). RNAcentral also lists the same sequence under 1 other name. The record is from RNAcentral.